AAGGCUGUAGCUCAGUCGGUAGAGCGAUGUGCCUGUUCUCUUGUCGCUGCCCGCAGGCCCGGCCUGCACCGAUUGACCCGGCGAAUGCCGGUGGAACUACAGGACAGCGUGGUCGCGGGUUCGAUUCCCGCCAACC
This 136-nucleotide transfer RNA is filed under the name Pseudomonas chlororaphis. RNAcentral describes it as "tRNA-Und (NNN) (tRNA-Und-NNN-2-1)". It matches the Rfam family "tRNA". Rfam says of the family: Transfer RNA (tRNA) molecules are approximately 80 nucleotides in length. Lineage: Bacteria; Pseudomonadati; Pseudomonadota; Gammaproteobacteria; Pseudomonadales; Pseudomonadaceae. RNAcentral also lists the same sequence under 1 other name. The record is from RNAcentral.